ACGGGAGGCAGCAGUAGGGAAUAUUGCACAAUGGGGGAAACCCUGAUGCAGCAACGCCACGUGUGGGAGACGCAUUUCGGUGUGUAAACCACUGUCGUGAGGGAAUAAGGACGCUUCUCGGAGCGUUUGAAUGUACCUCGAAGGGAAGCACCGGCAAACUUCGUGCCAGCAGCCGCGGUAAUACGAGGGGUGCAAGCGUUGUUCGGAAUCACUGGGCGUAAAGGGAGCGCAGGCGGAAGUGCAAGCGGUCUGUACAAUACCGGGGCCCAACCCCGGACCUGCAGACCGGACUGCAUUUCUUGGAUAGUUCAGGGGCAAGCGGAAUUCCUGGUGUAGCGGUGGAAUGCGUAGAGAUCAGGAAGAACACCGAUGGCGAAGGCAGCUUGCUGGGGACUUAUCGACGCUCAUGCUCGAAAGUGCGGGUAGCAAACAGGAUUAGAUACCCUGGUA
Molecule: ribosomal RNA, 450 nt
Filed under: uncultured Fibrobacter sp.
Lineage: Bacteria; Pseudomonadati; Fibrobacterota; Fibrobacteria; Fibrobacterales; Fibrobacteraceae
Description: partial 16S ribosomal RNA
Rfam family: Bacterial small subunit ribosomal RNA
Source: RNAcentral